CGUGGCGGGAGUUACCAAGACUAUGCAAUUAACGCACCCAUGGCCGCGAGAGCUUUUCGAAGUCGAAGACCAUCAUUGUUUCGUGUCUGAUUGCCUUCCUAAGACUGAUGAGAUACCUGCAUUCAAAGAAGUCUGACUCUAAUUUCAAGAAACGUAUAAUGGUGCAGCUGAUUGCUCUGACUGGUGGACAGGGUAAGGAGGUUUUCAAGACUGAGGCAACUGGAUGGGCCAUGGGAAAAUCGGAGGCGACAAAGCAAUCGUGUCACCAACCACGGCAAGCUUACAAGCAAAUGUGCUUAAGAGGUGGACUAGAACACUUGGAGAAUGUGCUGCUCCCGUCAUACCGUACUAUAGAAAAAUGGGAACAGUAAUGUUUUAAGAAUCUUGGCAUCGACUUGUUACUGAAGUAUCAGUUCUCCUGACAUCCCUUCUGCACUCUGAUCCACUGCAGGUAAUUGAAAAUAAUAAAAAAAUAUAACCCUUGUGCCUGUGA
Brienomyrus brachyistius is the source of this 493-nucleotide long non-coding RNA. RefSeq lists it as uncharacterized. The record is from RefSeq and is a predicted model, not a curated record. NCBI's taxonomy places the organism in Eukaryota, Metazoa, Chordata, Actinopteri, Osteoglossiformes, Mormyridae. The transcript is spliced from 4 exons.